UGUUAUUUGAGGAUGAAAAUUCAGGCUAAUUGUCUGCCAGGGCACUACGAACACAUGUUUAGAACUCAAAGAACUUGGCGGUGCUUUAGCCAGCUAGGGGAACCUGUUCUUUAAUUCGAUAGUCCACGAAAAUCUUACCUAUUUUAGUUAUCAGUUUGUAUACCGUCGUCGGAAGCUAGCACCAAAAGGGGUUAGAAGCUAGCAAAAAAGAUUUUUCUCUUAGAAGUCAGAUCAAGGUACAGCUUAUAAGUAGGGAGGAGAUGGGUUACAAUUAAUAAUUUCUAUUGGAGUGCUGAUGAAAUUUAGUUGAUGUAAAGAGGACUUAGAAGUAAUUUCUUAGUUAAAAUUAAGAAGUGAAAUAGGCUCUANAGCGUGUACAAAUCG
This 384-nucleotide ribosomal RNA is filed under the name Patella lugubris. RNAcentral's name for it is "mitochondrial SSU rRNA". The stretch from base 40 to 384 matches the Rfam family "Bacterial small subunit ribosomal RNA", at positions 875 to 1392 of the family's 1533-position model. The record is from RNAcentral. Lineage: Eukaryota; Metazoa; Mollusca; Gastropoda; Patellidae.